CGACCGAACACCGGGACCAGACUGAGUCCCCAGCAGCCCAGUCAGCCGGCGGCGGCGGCCGGAGCUUCGUCCCAGACACCUUUGAUGGCUGCCCUUUGCUCUGUCUGGUCUGAGAGGACAAAUGAGGGAAAUUGAGUAAGCCAGCUCAACAAGGCAGGAAGCUCCUGUCCGCUGUGUUACGCAUGAUUUUUCAGCAACUUUUUGAGGCGGAGGAGGGUGACCCACAGGACAGAGGCAGCCAGCCGGUUUACCAUGGUUCCCCUGAGCCUACAGAUCUCUGAUGGCUCCCAGUGGUGGCUGCAGCUUGAAAGUCACUCGGAGUAGAAGGGAGGAGCCACCACUUCUGAGCGUGGGCGAGGCCAGGAUCCUCCCUCCAGCAAUUUUACCUGUUUCCACCACGGGACAAGGAAGCGCCCUGCAGCUGUGGCCAGGAUGGACAGGCUUCCAAGGACAAUGGUAACCUGCUCCAACGCGCCUCACCGUAGGCCUCUGGGUCUGGCUGGCGGUUGUUAAACCUAUUUCACCAGCAAGGACAUGAGAAGUGGACAGGGGCUGUGCCUCGCUCAAGGUCACACAGCCAGGAAGGUGUGAAUGUGAGGUGAGCCCAAUAUCUGGGCAUGGGAAAGGAAAACCAACGGCUAGACUCCAGAGAGGAUACACAGAGCUCGUCACCACCACCAGAGCUUGCAGUGAUUGAGCACUGACUGGAUGCCUGCUCUCUCGCCCAGCC
This 730-nucleotide long non-coding RNA is filed under the name Camelus dromedarius (Arabian camel). RNAcentral describes it as "lncRNA (ENSCDRG00005011509.1)". The record is from RNAcentral. Lineage: Eukaryota; Metazoa; Chordata; Mammalia; Artiodactyla; Camelidae.